UUGCGCUAGGCGGGAAGCUAGCGGUGUCCUGUCGCCCGAAAUCCGCUUGAUGCGGGGCUGAAUUCCCUUUUGAGGGUCCACAGUUCCAUAUCCCAAGAGUAGUCUCCGGUCGGGCGCCACGCAACAUGCGGUUACGAACUCCGUCAGGUCCGGGAGGAAGCAGCGGUAAGUAAUCCAGCAUGUGUCGUGGGACGGCUUCGGCCAAAUUAUGACGACUCGAGGCGCCGUGGAAAGGGUUCGACAAAGGGUGCGCAA
This 255-nucleotide signal recognition particle RNA is filed under the name Desulfobacterales bacterium. Its description in RNAcentral is "signal recognition particle sRNA large type". It matches the Rfam family "Bacterial large signal recognition particle RNA". From Rfam's summary of the family: The signal recognition particle (SRP) is a universally conserved ribonucleoprotein involved in the co-translational targeting of proteins to membranes. Archaeal SRP consists of a 7S RNA and homologues of the eukaryotic SRP19 and SRP54 proteins. The record is from RNAcentral. Lineage: Bacteria; Pseudomonadati; Thermodesulfobacteriota; Desulfobacteria; Desulfobacterales.